AUGAAGUCGGAAUCGCUAGUAAUCGCGGAUCAGCAUGCCGCGGUGAAUACGUUCCCGGGCCUUGUACACACGCCCGUCACACCAUGAGAGUUUGUAACACCCAAAGCCGGUGGGGUAACCUUUUGGAGCCAGCCGUCUAAGGUGGGACAGAUGAUUGGGGUGAAGUCGUAACAAGGUAAC
This 180-nucleotide ribosomal RNA is filed under the name uncultured bacterium. RNAcentral's name for it is "partial 16S ribosomal RNA". It matches the Rfam family "Bacterial small subunit ribosomal RNA", at positions 1320 to 1500 of the family's 1533-position model. The record is from RNAcentral.